Molecule: long non-coding RNA, 268 nt
Organism: Carcharodon carcharias (great white shark)
Lineage: Eukaryota; Metazoa; Chordata; Chondrichthyes; Lamniformes; Lamnidae
Exons: 3
Source: RefSeq, a predicted model, not a curated record
GAGUAAUGACAGUUACUUUUGGAUUUCCUCAGUGCUUGCCUACUGUACUGAUCUGAUUUCUGGCACCUAAAGAUUUUGCCUUUACUCCACUUACCUAAGUCUAGGGAGCUUAGGCAUCGUUCAAAGGAGACAAGGGCACAGGAGCCCUGCUGUAGUUAACAAUUAAAACUGUGCAGGAGUACGAUGACUGAACCGAUAUUUUCAAGAUUAUAAAGAGAAGUGAUAAAGUUGUUCCAGACAAUCUGUUUGCCAGAUAAGGAACUCCAGU